Molecule: ribosomal RNA, 493 nt
Filed under: uncultured bacterium
Lineage: Bacteria
Description: bacterial SSU rRNA
Rfam family: Bacterial small subunit ribosomal RNA
Source: RNAcentral
CGGAACGCUGGCGGCGUGCCUAACACAUGCAAGUCGAAGGUCCGGCACUCAACGACCCUCAGUCUAACUGUAGGGGAAGUUGAGUGCCGGGUAGUGGCGGACGGGUGAGUAACGCGUGGGCAACCAACCCUGUACAGUGGGAUAACACCGGGAAACCGGUGCUAAUACCGCAUGACACCUAUAUGGUGCAUACCGUAUAGGUUAAAGGAUUUAACCGGUACAGGACGGGCCCGCGUCCCAUUAGCUAGUUGGUGAGGUAACGGCCCACCAAGGCGACGAUGGGUAGCCGACCUGAGAGGGUGACCGGCCACACUGGGACUGAGACACGGCCCAGACUCCUACGGGAGGCAGCAGUGGGGAAUAUUGCGCAAUGGGGGGAACCCGUGACGCAGCGACGCCGCGUGAGCGACGAAGGCCUUCGGGUCGUAAAGCUCUGUUCUUGGGGACGAAGGAAAUGACGGUACCCAAGGAGAAAGCCCCGGCUAACUACGUG